GGACGCGGACGACGGAGGGUCGGGUCUAUCUGCCGCACACACCAUGUAAUUAUGUUUGUAAUUUAAAGAUGUAAUAUUAUGUUUAUGAUUUAGUUUACGCCUUAGUUUAUUCGCUAACUUAACGAUACUGAAGUUUACCUACGAACAUGUGUUUCUGUAGCCUAAGACCUUUCACCACACCCACAUGCACACCUA
RNAcentral lists this small RNA (195 nucleotides) under Drosophila erecta. RNAcentral describes it as "GG26976". The record is from RNAcentral. Lineage: Eukaryota; Metazoa; Arthropoda; Insecta; Diptera; Drosophilidae.